This 301-nucleotide ribosomal RNA is filed under the name uncultured bacterium. RNAcentral describes it as "partial 16S ribosomal RNA". It matches the Rfam family "Bacterial small subunit ribosomal RNA", at positions 509 to 807 of the family's 1533-position model. The record is from RNAcentral.
CAGCAGCCGCGGUAAUACGGAGGGUGCGAGCGUUAAUCGGAAUUACUGGGCGUAAAGCGUACGCAGGCGGUUUGUUAAGUCAGAUGUGAAAUCCCCGAGCUUAACUUGGGAACUGCAUUUGAAACUGGCAAGCUAGAGUCUUGUAGAGGGGGGUAGAAUUCCAGGUGUAGCGGUGAAAUGCGUAGAGAUCUGGAGGGAUACCGGUGGCGAAGGCGGCCCCCUGGACAAAGACUGACGCUCAGGUGCGAAAGCGUGGGGAGCAAACAGGAUUAGAUACCCGCGUAGUCCCUGUCUCUUAUAC